RNAcentral lists this long non-coding RNA (1461 nucleotides) under Citrus sinensis (sweet orange). RNAcentral describes it as "long non-coding RNA (CSIN_LNC003701)". Lineage: Eukaryota; Viridiplantae; Streptophyta; Magnoliopsida; Sapindales; Rutaceae. The record is from RNAcentral.
GCAAGUCUUGCAAGAAGAAAGGCGUACGUGCUGUCAAGGAAUCUCUCGAACUCGUUGAAUGGUAAUGUUUUCAAGUACAGUUUCUCGCUUACAAGGGGCUUCGCUUCGGCAUCUGAUGAGAACGACGUCGUCGUCAUCGGAGGUGGACCUGGUGGUUACGUGGCCGCCAUCAAGGCCGCCCAGCUUGGUCUCAAGACUACGUGCAUCGAGAAGCGUGGGGCCCUCGGCGGCACGUGCCUUAACGUCGGAUGCAUCCCCUCUAAGGUUUGUUUGUUCUGCAAUCCUAGUUUUUUUUUUCCUUCUCUAUCUUUAAGAUAUGAUUUUUACUGUAAUUAGUAUAAUUGUGUUGAGAGAAUUGAUUAAUAUAGUUGCGUGUUUGCGUUUGUGUUUAUAAUUGGAUCGAGUGGUUUGAUUUAUAUGAAUCAAGAUCCGAUUUUUGAAGUUUUGAUUUAGUGUGUAAAUGGUAUUUGCUGAGAAUUGAUGGAUUUUACUACCGUCAGUUAAUUUUAAUAUUGACCGUUAGUUGACUGUACAAAGGCAAUAUUGCCCUUAACAACAAUUUGUAGACUGACAUAACUAAAAAAAAACUAAAAUUGUUGGUGCGAAAAGCACAAAUCCUAUUUUUUGAUAAUUUUAUUUUGUCAAUUCCAAAGAUUUACAAUAUCAUAGGUAAAGAUUAUGAUUAUUUCAUUUUCAAAUUUUUAAUUUUAUCUUUCUUGUAGGAACUUUAAGAAAAUAUUAAUAAUUUAAAGAGGAUAAAAUAGCCAACAAUUUUAGUUUUUUUUUAUAGUUAUGUCAGUCUACAAACUAUUGUUAAGGGUAAUAUUGUCUUUGCACAGUCAACUAACGGUCAAUGUUAAAAUUAACUGACGAUAGAGAAUUUUUUUAUAAAUAAACAGAUUCUCGCCAUCUACUUGCAACAAGCCCAAACCUCAGGGGAAUUUUUUUAAAAAUAACCCAUUUUUAAUCUAACAAGUAACAACAGGCACUAAAAAAUACAUACAUGAACAGAGUUAAUAUUUGUAUUUUUUGGGGAAAAUUCAGGGACUUAAAUGUUAUUAUCCGCACAAAAAAAUUCAACCGCGAACUGUGCAGACAACUGAAAUUUUCGAUGAAUAAAUAAAUAAAAGGCGCAGUCCGAGUUAGACCAAAAACCCACCAAUUCAAUCGAUUGAUUGGAGAAAAAGUUGAUUGAAAAAUGGCGAUGGCAAGUCUUGCAAGAAGAAAGGCGUACGUGCUGUCAAGGAAUCUCUCGAACUCGUUGAAUGGUAAUGUUUUCAAGUACAGUUUCUCGCUUACAAGGGGCUUCGCUUCGGCAUCUGAUGAGAACGACGUCGUCGUCAUCGGAGGUGGACCUGGUGGUUACGUGGCCGCCAUCAAGGCCGCCCAGCUUGGUCUCAAGACUACGUGCAUCGAGAAGCGUGGGGCCCUCGGCGGCACGUGCCUUAACGUCGGAUGCAU